Molecule: ribosomal RNA, 458 nt
Filed under: Escherichia coli
Lineage: Bacteria; Pseudomonadati; Pseudomonadota; Gammaproteobacteria; Enterobacterales; Enterobacteriaceae
Description: bacterial SSU rRNA
Rfam family: Bacterial small subunit ribosomal RNA
Source: RNAcentral
AAAUUGAAGAGUUUGAUCAUGGCUCAGAUUGAACGCUGGCGGCAGGCCUAACACAUGCAAGUCGAACGGUAACAGGAAGAAGCUUGCUUCUUUGCUGACGAGUGGCGGACGGGUGAGUAAUGUCUGGGAAACUGCCUGAUGGAGGGGGAUAACUACUGGAAACGGUAGCUAAUACCGCAUAACGUCGCAAGACCAAAGAGGGGGACCUUCGGGCCUCUUGCCAUCGGAUGUGCCCAGAUGGGAUUAGCUAGUAGGUGGGGUAACGGCUCACCUAGGCGACGAUCCCUAGCUGGUCUGAGAGGAUGACCAGCCACACUGGAACUGAGACACGGUCCAGACUCCUACGGGAGGCAGCAGUGGGGAAUAUUGCACAAUGGGCGCAAGCCUGAUGCAGCCAUGCCGCGUGUAUGAAGAAGGCCUUCGGGUUGUAAAGUACUUUCAGCGGGGAGGAAGGGAGU